Molecule: ribosomal RNA, 253 nt
Filed under: uncultured bacterium
Lineage: Bacteria
Description: partial 16S ribosomal RNA
Rfam family: Bacterial small subunit ribosomal RNA
Source: RNAcentral
UACGGAGGGGGCGAGCGUUGUUCGGAAUUACUGGGCGUAAAGGGCUCGUAGGCGGCCAACUAAGUCGGACGUGAAAUCCCCAGGCUCAACCUGGGAACUGCGUCCGAUACUGGAUGGCUUGAAUCCGGGAGAGGGAUGCAGAAUUCCAGGUGUAGCGGUGAAACGCGUAGAUAUCUGGAGGAAUACCGGUGGCGAAGGCGGCAUCCUGGACCGGCAUUGACGCUGAGGAGCGAAAGCCAGGGGAGCAAACGGG